GCGGAACUAGAGCUGUAUUUCAACAAGCUGAUGUCACCUGCAAUGCAGAGAGGCCGAGUAGAAGGACAAGAAAUCCCUGUUGAGUUACCUUCCAGUUUAUCUCAACCCCCCUCUACUGAACCAGAAAGGAACAGACACCAUGAUGUUGACUAUGACCAAAGGGACUUUCACAUGCCUGAUGUGCGUCUGGCAG
Molecule: long non-coding RNA, 193 nt
Organism: Sinocyclocheilus rhinocerous
Lineage: Eukaryota; Metazoa; Chordata; Actinopteri; Cypriniformes; Cyprinidae
Exons: 3
Source: RefSeq, a predicted model, not a curated record